RNAcentral lists this unclassified non-coding RNA (203 nucleotides) under Hevea brasiliensis (rubber tree). The record is from RNAcentral. Lineage: Eukaryota; Viridiplantae; Streptophyta; Magnoliopsida; Malpighiales; Euphorbiaceae.
UGUUUAAAGCAUAAAUGUGAACCUAUUUCUUAAACAUCUUGAUUAAGUUUCUUUGAUCCCUAUAUUUUAGCACUAAAUGGUAUCCAAGUCCCCGCAAUACAUUUCACUUGUACAAUAGAGUUUGUGAUAGCUUCCAUCUCAAGCAUUGAUCUUAGCAAAUGCAUUUGUAUGCAAACAAAAGAUUGGAUUUUAGUAUCAAUCAG